This 666-nucleotide ribosomal RNA is filed under the name uncultured Helvella. RNAcentral describes it as "eukaryotic LSU rRNA". The stretch from base 271 to 424 matches the Rfam family "5.8S ribosomal RNA". Lineage: Eukaryota; Fungi; Ascomycota; Pezizomycetes; Pezizales; Helvellaceae. The record is from RNAcentral.
CAGUAUCGGAUUCGUAGUGACCUGCGGAAGGAUCAUUACAAAAGAACCCAUGCCCGGUCGAUUUCCGGGCAGGGCGCCCCGCGGCGCCCAACUCUCACACCCUCUGCGUACACAUCCAUGUUGCUUCCCCGGGGAUGGGCUGCUGGCCACCCCGGGGGAGGGCCACCAAGGCGCACACGAUGCCGACCAACCAUGCGACCAUUCCACCUGUCUGAAGGCCGACGGGCCGAGGGAGAAGGGGAGAGCGAGGAAACGAAUCAGAACAAAAAAAACUUUCAACAACGGAUCUCUUGGUUCCCGCAUCGAUGAAGAACGCAGCGAAAUGCGAUAAGUAAUGUGAAUUGCAGAAUUCAGUGAAUCAUCGAAUCUUUGAACGCACAUUGCGCCCCCUGGCAUUCCGGGGGGCAUGCCUGUUCGAGCGUCUCCGAAAGAGAAGACUCACGCGGGGGAACGCGUGGUGGUGGCGGCGGCGGCGGCCCCGAAUGGGGAGCCACCCUGUCGGAAUCAAUGGGCGGACGCCUGCCGCGAUGCCGAGCGUGAUAUGAAGCAUGGGCGCCCGAGCGCGGCGAGGCUCCCAGCCCCUGGCCCAUGGGUCUGGGCGGGGAGGGCAAGACACUGGAACUCCUCGAAUCAGGUAGGGAUACCCGCUGAACUUAAGCAUUGAAA